This 1872-nucleotide unclassified non-coding RNA is filed under the name Symbiobacterium thermophilum IAM 14863. The record is from RNAcentral. Lineage: Bacteria; Bacillati; Bacillota; Clostridia; Eubacteriales; Symbiobacteriaceae.
GUGUGCCCGGCAUGGGCGCUGACUUGGCGGUGAAAGUCCGCUACGGGCGAGGCAGCACCAGCCCGUUAGCCAAAGGCAAGGGUGUCCGUCGUGAGGCGGAAUCUGAAGGAAGCCCGAGGCAAAGCCACGACCCGAGGAACACGAACCCCAUAGGAGGCUGUGCCGCUCGGGUGAGCUGGCCGAACACAGCAAAACCCGAAGCUGCCAAAGGGCGGUGCGGUAGAUGGGGCGGGUGCGGGGUGAAGGUCAGCGUUCUUACCCGGGGAGAUCUGCCGGGAACGCCAGCAACGCUGGUAACCUGCGUCGGGAGACGCAGCUGAACCGGCAGAAGUCAGCAAAGGCCAUAGUACCGGCAGGGGGACGCCCCAACCGGGAAGGGCCGAACGUCAGGAAAGGGGUGAACCCGUUGCGUUCGAGCAGCCCGCGACAAACGCAGAAGACCCCGAACGGGACCUGCUCGCCGGAGGUAGCGGUGAAGCCGCAAGGGACGGCGAGAGGGUGGAGUGGGCAGCCGGCACAAGACGGAACGUCACCCCGCGGGGAGCACAGCAACCUGAUGGAGCAGGUGGUGGCCAGGGAGAACAUGCUGGCCGCCCUGAAACGGGUGGAGCGGAACGGAGGCGCCCCCGGCGUGGACGGUGUCCCCACCGAACGGCUGCGGGACCAGAUUCGCGUGGAGUGGAGCCGCAUCCGUGAGGAACUGCUCCAGGGGACCUACAGACCGCAGCCAGUCCGCCGGGUCGAAAUCCCGAAACCGGGCGGCGGCAAGCGGAUGCUGGGGAUUCCCACCGUGAUGGACCGCCUGAUCCAGCAGGCACUCCUGCAAGUACUGACGCCGAUCUUUGACCCGACAUUCUCCGAAUCCAGCUACGGCUUUCGGCCGGGGCGGCGGGGUCAUGAUGCGGUCAGGAAGGCACGUCAGUACGUGGAGGAAGGGUACGACUGGGUCGUGGACAUGGACCUGGAGAAGUUCUUCGACCGGGUCAACCACGACGUGCUGAUGGCCCGCGUGGCGCGGCGGGUAACGGAUAAGCGUGUGCUGCGGCUGAUCCGGCGGUACUUACAGGCCGGGGUCAUGCUGAACGGGGUAGUCGUGGCGACGGAGGAAGGGACGCCGCAGGGCGGUCCGCUGAGUCCGCUGCUGGCGAACAUCCUGCUGGAUGACCUCGACAAGGAGCUGGAGCGCCGUGGCCACCACUUUGUCCGGUACGCCGAUGACUGCAACAUCUACGUCCGCAGCAAGCGGGCGGGAGAACGGGUCUACAGGAGCGUGCGCCACUUCCUGCAGGAGCGGUUACGGCUGAAGGUCAACGAGGAGAAGAGCGCAGUAGACCGGCCGUGGAAGCGGCAGUUCCUCGGGUUUAGCUUCUACAAGCACCGGGGAGUGCGCAUCCGGCUGGCCCCGAAGAGCCUGAAACGCGUGAAGGACAAGCUCCGCACGCUGACGGACCGCAACCGCAGCCAACCGAAUCCGGUGCCUGAAUGCCUACUUGCGGGGCUGGGUUGGGUACUAUGCGCUCUCCGAUGCCAGGUCAGCCUUUGAAAGACUCGAAGGAUGGCUGAAGCGUCGGCUGCGAGCAUGCGUAUGGAGGCAGUGGAAGCGUGUACGCACGCGCUUUCGGGAGUUACGCGCCCUCGGUUUGCCCGAAUGGGUAGUCUACCAACUCGCCAACAGCCGCAAAGGCCCGUGGCGGAUGGCAGGUGGCCCACUAAACAGCGCCCUGGGCGACGCCUACUGGCGUGCCCAGGGGCUGAUAAGCCUGACCGAAUGCUAUGAAGCGACUCGUCAAUCCUGGCGAACCGCCGGAUGCGGACCCGCAUGUCCGGUGGUGUGAGAGGACGGGGGCUAGCCGCCCCCUCCUACUCGAUCGG